GGGUUGUGAGGUUAAGCGACUAAGCGUACACGGUGGAUGCCCUGGCAGUCAGAGGCGAUGAAGGACGUGCUAAUCUGCGAUAAGCGUCGGUAAGGUGAUAUGAACCGUUAUAACCGGCGAUUUCCGAAUGGGGAAACCCAGUGUGUUUCGACACACUAUCAUUAACUGAAUCCAUAGGUUAAUGAGGCGAACCGGGGGAACUGAAACAUCUAAGUACCCCGAGGAAAAGAAAUCAACCGAGAUUCCCCCAGUAGCGGCGAGCGAACGGGGAGCAGCCCAGAGCCUGAAUCAGUGUGUGUGUUAGUGGAAGCGUCUGGAAAGGCGCGCGAUACAGGGUGACAGCCCCGUACACAAAAAUGCACAUAUUGUGAGCUCGAUGAGUAGGGCGGGACACGUGGUAUCCUGUCUGAAUAUGGGGGGACCAUCCUCCAAGGCUAAAUACUCCUGACUGACCGAUAGUGAACCAGUACCGUGAGGGAAAGGCGAAAAGAACCCCGGCGAGGGGAGUGAAAAAGAACCUGAAACCGUGUACGUACAAGCAGUGGGAGCCUCUUUAUGGGGUGACUGCGUACCUUUUGUAUAAUGGGUCAGCGACUUAUAUUCUGUAGCAAGGUUAACCGAAUAGGGGAGCCGAAGGGAAACCGAGUCUUAACUGGGCGUUAAGUUGCAGGGUAUAGACCCGAAACCCGGUGAUCUAGCCAUGGGCAGGUUGAAGGUUGGGUAACACUAACUGGAGGACCGAACCGACUAAUGUUGAAAAAUUAGCGGAUGACUUGUGGCUGGGGGUGAAAGGCCAAUCAAACCGGGAGAUAGCUGGUUCUCCCCGAAAGCUAUUUAGGUAGCGCCUCGUGAAUUCAUCUCCGGGGGUAGAGCACUGUUUCGGCAAGGGGGUCAUCCCGACUUACCAACCCGAUGCAAACUGCGAAUACCGGAGAAUGUUAUCACGGGAGACACACGGCGGGUGCUAACGUCCGUCGUGAAGAGGGAAACAACCCAGACCGCCAGCUAAGGUCCCAAAGUCAUGGUUAAGUGGGAAACGAUGUGGGAAGGCCCAGACAGCCAGGAUGUUGGCUUAGAAGCAGCCAUCAUUUAAAGAAAGCGUAAUAGCUCACUGGUCGAGUCGGCCUGCGCGGAAGAUGUAACGGGGCUAAACCAUGCACCGAAGCUGCGGCAGCGACGCUUAUGCGUUGUUGGGUAGGGGAGCGUUCUGUAAGCCUGUGAAGGUGUGCUGUGAGGCAUGCUGGAGGUAUCAGAAGUGCGAAUGCUGACAUAAGUAACGAUAAAGCGGGUGAAAAGCCCGCUCGCCGGAAGACCAAGGGUUCCUGUCCAACGUUAAUCGGGGCAGGGUGAGUCGACCCCUAAGGCGAGGCCGAAAGGCGUAGUCGAUGGGAAACAGGUUAAUAUUCCUGUACUUGGUGUUACUGCGAAGGGGGGACGGAGAAGGCUAUGUUGGCCGGGCGACGGUUGUCCCGGUUUAAGCGUGUAGGCUGGUUUUCCAGGCAAAUCCGGAAAAUCAAGGCUGAGGCGUGAUGACGAGGCACUACGGUGCUGAAGCAACAAAUGCCCUGCUUCCAGGAAAAGCCUCUAAGCAUCAGGUAACAUCAAAUCGUACCCCAAACCGACACAGGUGGUCAGGUAGAGAAUACCAAGGCGCUUGAGAGAACUCGGGUGAAGGAACUAGGCAAAAUGGUGCCGUAACUUCGGGAGAAGGCACGCUGAUAUGUAGGUGAAGUCCCUCGCGGAUGGAGCUGAAAUCAGUCGAAGAUACCAGCUGGCUGCAACUGUUUAUUAAAAACACAGCACUGUGCAAACACGAAAGUGGACGUAUACGGUGUGACGCCUGCCCGGUGCCGGAAGGUUAAUUGAUGGGGUUAGCGGUAACGCGAAGCUCUUGAUCGAAGCCCCGGUAAACGGCGGCCGUAACUAUAACGGUCCUAAGGUAGCGAAAUUCCUUGUCGGGUAAGUUCCGACCUGCACGAAUGGCGUAAUGAUGGCCAGGCUGUCUCCACCCGAGACUCAGUGAAAUUGAACUCGCUGUGAAGAUGCAGUGUACCCGCGGCAAGACGGAAAGACCCCGUGAACCUUUACUAUAGCUUGACACUGAACAUUGAGCCUUGAUGUGUAGGAUAGGUGGGAGGCUUUGAAGUGUGGACGCCAGUCUGCAUGGAGCCGACCUUGAAAUACCACCCUUUAAUGUUUGAUGUUCUAACGUUGACCCGUAAUCCGGGUUGCGGACAGUGUCUGGUGGGUAGUUUGACUGGGGCGGUCUCCUCCUAAAGAGUAACGGAGGAGCACGAAGGUUGGCUAAUCCUGGUCGGACAUCAGGAGGUUAGUGCAAUGGCAUAAGCCAGCUUGACUGCGAGCGUGACGGCGCGAGCAGGUGCGAAAGCAGGUCAUAGUGAUCCGGUGGUUCUGAAUGGAAGGGCCAUCGCUCAACGGAUAAAAGGUACUCCGGGGAUAACAGGCUGAUACCGCCCAAGAGUUCAUAUCGACGGCGGUGUUUGGCACCUCGAUGUCGGCUCAUCACAUCCUGGGGCUGAAGUAGGUCCCAAGGGUAUGGCUGUUCGCCAUUUAAAGUGGUACGCGAGCUGGGUUUAGAACGUCGUGAGACAGUUCGGUCCCUAUCUGCCGUGGGCGCUGGAGAACUGAGGGGGGCUGCUCCUAGUACGAGAGGACCGGAGUGGACGCAUCACUGGUGUUCGGGUUGUCAUGCCAAUGGCACUGCCCGGUAGCUAAAUGCGGAAGAGAUAAGUGCUGAAAGCAUCUAAGCACGAAACUUGCCCCGAGAUGAGUUCUCCCUGACUCCUUGAGAGUCCUGAAGGAACGUUGAAGACGACGACGUUGAUAGGCCGGGUGUGUAAGCGCAGCGAUGCGUUGAGCUAACCGGUACUAAUGAACCGUGAGGCUUAACCUUACAACGCCGAAG
Molecule: ribosomal RNA, 2926 nt
Filed under: Escherichia coli ATCC 8739
Lineage: Bacteria; Pseudomonadati; Pseudomonadota; Gammaproteobacteria; Enterobacterales; Enterobacteriaceae
Description: 23S ribosomal RNA
Rfam family: Bacterial large subunit ribosomal RNA
Source: RNAcentral